GUGGGGGAUAUUGCACAAUGGGGGAAACCCUGAUGCAGCAACGCCGCGUGAAGGAUGAAGGUUUUCGGAUUGUAAACUUCUGUUCUUAGUGACGAUAAUGACGGUAGCUAAGAAGAAAGCUCCGGCUAACUACGUGCCAGCAGCCGCGGUAAUACGUAGGGAGCGAGCGUUGUCCGGAUUUACUGGGUGUAAAGGGUGCGUAGGCGGCAGAGCAAGUCAGGCGUGAAAGCCAUGGGCUUAACCCAUGAACUGCGCUUGAAACUGUUUUGCUUGAGUGAAGUAGAGGCAGGCGGAAUUCCCGGUGUAGCGGUGAAAUGCGUAGAGAUCGGGAGGAACACCAGUGGCGAAGGCGGCCUGCUGGGCUUUAACUGACGCUGAGGCACGAAAGCAUGGGUAGCAAACAGGAUUAGAAACCCUAGUAGUCC
RNAcentral lists this ribosomal RNA (425 nucleotides) under uncultured bacterium. RNAcentral describes it as "bacterial SSU rRNA". It matches the Rfam family "Bacterial small subunit ribosomal RNA", at positions 354 to 796 of the family's 1533-position model. The record is from RNAcentral.